AGCAGUAGAACUCCUCAGAGCAGGUGCACGAGGACGGUGCCUGCAAAGAACCAGAGAGCACCGCCGCUGAAGGGGCCACCAGAGGACUUCCAGGAAGUGAGUGGAAUGAAAGGAUUUGAAUAAAACCACAUUAGUGGAUUAUAUUCUAAAUUGAGGGCCUUGCCACCAGCAUCUGCCAAGUUUUAGAUCCAUGUUUAAAGUAUUUUCUUCAACUGAUUCCACUCAUGUUGAAAUAGGAUUAGUAUUGUCAGUUUUCUUUUACCCGCCUCACAGAGAACACUGUUCAGAAUAGUUGGUAUCUGUGAAAAAGUUCAAGGAGGUAGAUUAAAAUAGCUAUCCAUCUAUCUACUUUUCUCUUCAAUCCAAUGGAUAUGUACAGACAUCCUGAAGAAUCAACUGGAAGCUAGAAAUCCUUCUUCAAGAAUUGUAGUCUAGCUGGAGAGAUAAGGCCAAGAAUUGAGGAGCAGCUUAACUGGGUCAAUCUGGCUCAAGAUGUCUCAGAAGUGCAGCUAUUGGCUGGAGCUGCAGUCUCAUUCAAACGCUCAACCUGCUUCCACUCCCAAUCACAAGGGCUUCAGUUCCUUCCUGGAUGGCUGGGAGACUUCAGCCCCUUACCUAUCAAUAGUUUGUCUUACUGCUCUCCUGAUACAGCAGUUGACUUUCCUCUGGAAGAGUGAUCUAAGAGAAGGAACUGAGAAAAAGAGUGGUGAGUUGGCACUGUCUCUACAGAUGUGAACAAGAACCGACUAAUGGGAUCCAGGAGCAGAUGUCAGGAGCUCAAGGUGAGAGGGCACAUGGAUGGGUCUCCUGACACCUCUGACUUACACUCUCUUCAUAUGCUCCUGAAUGGUGAAGGAAGUCUAGAUCCAUUUUCUCCUGGUUUUAAUAAUAGCCUUGGCUAGGUGUAAUGACUCUUGCCUGUAAUCCCAGCACUUUGGGAGGCUGAGGUGAGUAGAUUGCUUGAGUUCAGGAGUUCGAGACCAGCCUGGGCAACACAGCAAAGCCCCAUCUCUACAAAAAAUACAAAAAUUAGCCAGCCAUGGUAAGGCAUGCCUACUCACUUACAGCACCCAGCUACUUGGAAAGCUGAGGUGGGAGGAUUGCUGGAAUCUGGGAAGUGGAGGUUGCAAUGA
Callithrix jacchus (white-tufted-ear marmoset) is the source of this 1133-nucleotide non-coding RNA. The record is from RefSeq and is a predicted model, not a curated record. NCBI's taxonomy places the organism in Eukaryota, Metazoa, Chordata, Mammalia, Primates, Cebidae.